Molecule: ribosomal RNA, 255 nt
Filed under: uncultured bacterium
Lineage: Bacteria
Description: partial 16S ribosomal RNA
Rfam family: Bacterial small subunit ribosomal RNA
Source: RNAcentral
UACGAAGGGGGCUAGCGUUGCUCGGAAUUACUGGGCGUAAAGGGCGCGUAGGCGGCGGCGUAAGUUGGAAGUGAAAUCCCAUCGGCUCAACCGUGGAAUCGCUCCCAGUACUGCGUCGCUCGAGGGGGAUAGGGGUCUGCGGAACUACCGGUGGAGCGGUGAAAUGUGUUGAUAUCGGUGGGAACGCCAGUGGCGAAAGCGGCAGACUGGACCCUUCCUGACGCUGAGUGCGCGAAAGCUAGGGGAGCAAACGGG